This 467-nucleotide ribosomal RNA is filed under the name uncultured bacterium. Its description in RNAcentral is "partial 16S ribosomal RNA". It matches the Rfam family "Bacterial small subunit ribosomal RNA", at positions 28 to 506 of the family's 1533-position model. The record is from RNAcentral.
GACGAACGCUGGCGGCGUGCUUAACACAUGCAAGUCGAACGGAAAGGCCCUGCUUUUGUGGGGUGCUCGAGUGGCGAACGGGUGAGUAACACGUGAGUAACCUGCCCUUGACUUUGGGAUAACUUCAGGAAACUGGGGCUAAUACCGGAUAGGAGCUCCUGCUGCAUGGUGGGGGUUGGAAAGUUUCGGCGGUUGGGGAUGGACUCGCGGCUUAUCAGCUUGUUGGUGGGGUAGUGGCUUACCAAGGCUUUGACGGGUAGCCGGCCUGAGAGGGUGACCGGCCACAUGGGGACGGGGAUACGGCCCAGACUCCUACGGGAGGCAGCAGUGGGGAAUAUUGCACAAUGGGCGGAAGCCUGAUGCAGCAACGCCGCGUGCGGGAUGACGGCCUUCGGGUUGUAAACCGCUUUCGCCUGUGACGAAGCGUGAGUGACGGUAAUGGGUAAAGAAGCACCGGCUAACUACGU